AUUGAACGCUGGCGGCAUGCCUAACACAUGCAAGUCGAACGCGAAAGGUCCUUCGGGGCCGAGUAGAGUGGCGGACGGGUGAGUAACGCGUGGGAAUCUGCCCAGUAGUGGGGGAUAACUCGGGGAAACUCGAGCUAAUACCGCAUACGCCCUACGGGGGAAAGGCUUCGGCCGCUAUUGGAUGAGCCCGCGUCAGAUUAGCUAGUUGGUAGGGUAAUGGCCUACCAAGGCGACGAUCUGUAGCUGGUCUGAGAGGACGAACAGCCACACUGGGACUGAGACACGGCCCAGACUCCUACGGGAGGCAGCAGUGGGGAAUAUUGGACAAUGGGCGAAAGCCUGAUCCAGCAAUGCCGCGUGUGUGAAGAAGGCCUGCGGGUUGUAAAGCACUUUCAGUG
RNAcentral lists this ribosomal RNA (398 nucleotides) under uncultured bacterium. RNAcentral describes it as "bacterial SSU rRNA". It matches the Rfam family "Bacterial small subunit ribosomal RNA", at positions 30 to 441 of the family's 1533-position model. The record is from RNAcentral.